This 523-nucleotide ribosomal RNA is filed under the name uncultured bacterium. Its description in RNAcentral is "bacterial SSU rRNA". It matches the Rfam family "Bacterial small subunit ribosomal RNA", at positions 777 to 1297 of the family's 1533-position model. The record is from RNAcentral.
AAUAGAUACCCGGGUAGUCCACGCCGUAAACGAUGAGUGCUAAGUGUUAGAGGGUUUCCGCCCUUUAGUGCUGCAGCUAACGCAUUAAGCACUCCGCCUGGGGAGUACGGCCGCAAGGCUGAAACUCAAAGGAAUUGACGGGGGCCCGCACAAGCGGUGGAGCAUGUGGUUUAAUUCGAAGCAACGCGAAGAACCUUACCAGGUCUUGACAUCCUCUGCCAACCCUAGAGAUAGGGCGUUCCCCUUCGGGGGACAGAGUGACAGGUGGUGCAUGGUUGUCGUCAGCUCGUGUCGUGAGAUGUUGGGUUAAGUCCCGCAACGAGCGCAACCCUUGAUCUUAGUUGCCAGCAUUCAGUUGGGCACUCUAAGGUGACUGCCGGUGACAAACCGGAGGAAGGUGGGGAUGGACGUCAAAUCAUCAUGCCCCUUAUGACCUGGGCUACACACGUGCUACAAUGGAUGGUACAAAGAGCUGCGAACCCGCGAGGGUAAGCCAAUCUCAUAAAGCCAUUCUCAGUUCGGA